GUAUAGAUUCGUUUGAAAUACCUGCCGUGUCUCAUUUUUGCAUUGAGUUCUGACCGACUUAGAAUGUCCUCAUCCAGAAGUACAUGGAUCCUGUUAGCAGUGACCGUCAUCUGCAUCGUUAUUCCACCGACAGUCAAAGGCUCUUUGGUAAUUUCUUAUCCAAGAAUAACAUUCAACAAGCCUGUAGGAGAGAAGCUGCAUCUCAUUUGUAACGUGACAUAUUAUAUAGGGGAUUGUGGUGAAAUUAAAGCCUUUUGGUGUAAACGUCAUGGAAAUGUUGACUGUCAAGAACUGAAAGACGACCAGAUACAUAUUACAGUAGUAUCAGAGAAUAAGGCACAGGAUAAACGCUCAACACAAAGACAGACUGAACUGGAGAUUGAAUCACUUGUGUUGGAUGACGCUGGGUCGUAUCAGUGUAAAGCACAUUGCUGGAAGGGGCAAGCUGCUGUUGGCCAUAUCAUCACACUCAUUGUUAAAGAGGCAGAUAUCACAACAAUGCAGGGAAAUGGAUGCCCAUUCAAGACAGAGGCUUUCUCUGUGAUGUUAUAUUGCAUGAUUACAGUUCUGAUCUUGUGGUGACGUGAUGACUUGAUGGAUGUUUCGAGCGCCUUUCAAUUUGCUAAGUAAAGUAUCUGUAAAAAUAAGCUUUGUUGUUGGCAUGGAAUUUUUUAUUUAUGUUUCAAAAAGGAACUUAACUCUUGAUCAGUUUAAAUGGGAUGUGAAUAAUAAAAUUAACAUUCUGGCCUGAAUGAAGUGUUCAUUACAACCUUGUUACCGCGUUAAGAAGAAAUAGAAGACGGAUGGAUGGAUUGACUUUAUAAAUACUGUUAAACUCUUUAUAAAUGUUAUCUUUAACUAAGAUACUGUAGGCGAAACUUAACAGCACCACUGAUGCUGUUUAAUAUUCUUCUACUUUUUUAGUACUUUUUUUGUUAGUCUUUGAGAAGUAAUGUGCACAUUAUAAAAUGCAAAUUAAGCCAAUACUAUAACAUAAAACAAUGAGAUUUAAAUGGUUUUGAUGCAGAAAAUCCUGGACAAAUGUAAACUUAAUAAGAGUCAACAUGUAGCUGAGUAAAAUACGGUUUCUUCCCAAAUAUUACGGUAUUAUUACAUCACAUGACUUGAGUUGGACUUGAGUCUCGAUAGGCAGGUAUUUCGUACUGAAUUUGAAAAAUGGUUGUAGUAUUCUGUUUUGUUCUGCUCUGUGUUGCACCAUGGUCCUGGAGGAACGGUAUCUCAUUUCACUGUAUUCUGGGUGUAUGGUUGAAAUGACAAUAAAUACCUACUUGACUACUUGA
Molecule: long non-coding RNA, 1301 nt
Organism: Brienomyrus brachyistius
Lineage: Eukaryota; Metazoa; Chordata; Actinopteri; Osteoglossiformes; Mormyridae
Exons: 3
Source: RefSeq, a predicted model, not a curated record